Molecule: ribosomal RNA, 547 nt
Filed under: uncultured bacterium
Lineage: Bacteria
Description: bacterial SSU rRNA
Rfam family: Bacterial small subunit ribosomal RNA
Source: RNAcentral
GGAAUAUUGGGCAAUGGAGGGAACUCUGACCCAGCGACGCCGCGUGCGGGAUGAAGGCCUUCGGGUUGUAAACCGCUUUCAGCAAGGAAGAAGCGAAAGUGACGGUACUUGCAGAAGAAGCACCGGCUAACUAUGUGCCAGCAGCCGCGGUAAUACAUAGGGUGCAAGCGUUGUCCGGAAUUAUUGGGCGUAAAGAGCUCGUAGGUGGUUCGUCACGUCGGAUGUGAAAAUCUGGGGCUUAACCCCAGACCUGCAUUCGAUACGGGCGAGCUAGAGUGUGGUAGGGGAGACUGGAAUUCCUGGUGUAGCGGUGGAAUGCGCAGAUAUCAGGAGGAACACCAAUGGCGAAGGCAGGUCUCUGGGCCAUUACUGACACUGAGGAGCGAAAGCGUGGGGAGCGAACAGGAUUAGAUACCCUGGUAGUCCACGCCGUAAACGGUGGGCACUAGUUGUGGGAACCUUCCACGGUUUCUGCGACGCAGCUAACGCAUUAAGUGCCCCGCCUGGGGAGUACGAUCGCAAGAUUAAAACUCAAAGGAAUUGACGG